Long non-coding RNA from Stegostoma tigrinum, 1558 nucleotides. RefSeq lists it as uncharacterized. The transcript is spliced from 3 exons. Lineage: Eukaryota; Metazoa; Chordata; Chondrichthyes; Orectolobiformes; Stegostomatidae. The record is from RefSeq and is a predicted model, not a curated record.
AGGUUGUGUGUGUGUCUGUGUCUGUGUGCGUCUGUGUGUCUGCAUGUGUGCGUGUGUGUGUGUGUGUGUGUGUCUGCACGUAUGUGUGUGUCUGUGUGUCUGCGUGUGUGUGUAUCUGUGUGUGUGUGUGUGUGUCUGUGUGUCUGUGUGUGUGUAUGUUCUGUGUCUGUGUGCGUGUGUGUGUCUGCGUGUGUGUGUCUGUGUCUGUGUGUGUCUGUGUCUGUGUAUGUGAGAGUCUAUGUGUAUCUAGCUGUACGUGUGUGUUUGUGAGUGAGUGUGUGUGUAUCAAUAUGUAUGUGUCUAUAUGCAAAUGUGUCUGUGUCUGUGUGUCGGCUUGUUUUUGUGAGUGUGAGCAAGUAAGUGAGAGUGAGUGUGUGGUUGUGUAUGUGUAUGUGUUUGUAUUUGUCUGUGCAUUUGUGAGUGUGUGUGCGCCUGUGUUUGUGAGUUUGAGUAUGAGUGAGUGAGUAUGCGUUUGUGUCAGUGUGUAUGUGGAUGUGUAUGUGUUUGUGUCUGUUUUGUGUUUGUGAGUGUGUGAGUGUGUGUAUGUGAGUGUUUGUGAGUGAGUGUGAGCGAGUGACUGAAUGUGUGUGAAUCUGUCUGUGUUUGUGAGAAUAAGUGAGUAAGUGUGUGUGUGUGUCUGUCUGCCUGUGUUUGUGAGUAUACAUGAGUGAGUGUGUGUGUGUGUGUGUGUGUGUGUGUGUGUGUGUGUGUGUGUGUGUGUGCGCGUCUGUGAAUGUGAGAUUGUGUGCAGGAGAAAGAGAGGGUUGAAGGUGAGAUAGUCUCCAGUAGAUGUUAAAUACAUGAUUAAUGAUCAACUAAUCCUAAGAAAGUCUGCUGAUGACAAAUUACAGGAGCAAUACUAGAAUUUCAAGGAUGUGUUUCAACAAAGGAGACUGGUGAAGUGGCUGAUGGCUUUCCCAGUUUUGUCUGGAAGAUUCCUCAGGGAUUUGAUAAGGAUCGAACAUAAUGGAAGAAUGUUCCCAGCCUCUGGCUAGGUGUGUGGGGUGAUGGUGAAACAUUGUGGAAAACAUGCUACGUUGCCUGGGCCAGGAAUUUUGACAACCCACCGGACAGUCAUUGAGCCAAUUCUGAGGCCAAAUCAUGGCCACAUUCCCACCCGCUAAGGACAUAAAACCAGACAAUUCAGUCUGUUGACUCUGUUCCGCGAUUCAGUGAGAUCAUGGCAGAUCUAACAAUCUUCAACUCUGCAUUCUUGCCAUUUCCCAAGAAACACUGCUGCAGGGCAGUGAGGAAAGGAUGUUGCCUGCAUGGAUAGACUGAAACCUGGCAACCACCCAGGAGGAUGCUGAAUGCCCCCUACAUCUGACCAGUCUGCAACCUGUAAAAGCAUCCAUCACUCCUACAGCAGAGGAUCAUGCAUUGCAAUACCCCAAUCAUGGUCACUGGUCCUAACCUGUCAGCCCCUGACAUUCCCAGAUCACUGAUGGGGCAAGGUGUGAUUUCCACAUGGACCGAGAUGUACUGCAUGACUCUACUUGUUAGAACAUUAACUGAUUUAACAGAAAUAAAUCUAGAACUCAGUAUUAACAAACAGCAG